This is a long non-coding RNA of Monodelphis domestica (gray short-tailed opossum), 2339 nucleotides long. RefSeq lists it as uncharacterized. NCBI's taxonomy places the organism in Eukaryota, Metazoa, Chordata, Mammalia, Didelphimorphia, Didelphidae. The record is from RefSeq and is a predicted model, not a curated record.
AUCCUAAUGAGAUCCUGGGAAGGAAUUCUUGGGUUUCCCAAGGAAGGGCAGUUAAGAUUUACUGGACACUCUUUGGGUGGAUGCUCAAAGGAUGGAUGGUUGUCAGUUUUCCUCUGAUAUUCCUUGAGGAUUUUGGAGAUACCUGGUUGGGAAUAAUAUCGUGUGUUUGAGAAAGACUAAGAAGGAUUCAAAGACAAUUGUCACAUAGAGGAUAGAUGGACUCCGUCAGAACAUUGCUACAAUUAUAUAGCAACCUUUGGAAAAUUUAAUGAGCUAAAUAUCUCAAAUUUAUUUAAGGGGUCUUUUAGACAUGAUUUUUAUAUAUUUUUCCAACAACUCUGGUCAUUUUGCCUACCCCUAACAUUUUAGUAGUUGAAGUAAAAUACAAAUUUAAUCCCCACCUCCCACAUUUAUAAAAAUGUGAACGGAAGCUGGGAAGUUAAUCCGAGGGCAUAUAGUACCCCUGGAGCACUCCCAAAAGAGGAGCAUUUCUCAUUUAUAACUCUUCAGCUCACUUUACUUCCACCAGAAUGAUAUCUAGAUUUCUUGAUGAUGUUCUAGACCCAAAUGAGUUUUGUUUAAAUAUGUUUACCAAGGUUGAAAGAUUUGCUACAUUUGUAAAAAUUGUGACAAAUAUCCAUCAGUUCAUAGGCUUUUAAAAAUUCCAUACAGCAACUGAUGUGAAAUAUGAUAGUGGGUUUGUUUGUUAUUGUAAUUAACUGGACUAUUGAGAAUUUUCGGGAUAGAUACCUACAUAUUUGUACUACUGUUCUUUAUUUAAAAAAAAAAACUGUUACUUUGUAAAAUCAUUUGCUUGUACUCACAGUGGAUCAUGGCCAGACAUGAAAAGGAAAUGGAUCUCAUUUUUGGUGAGAAAGCCUUGUAUUCUAUAUUUUCUUAGCUGACACAGUGUGCUCAAUCAAUUAUAAUCAAUGAUUAUAAGUUAUAUUUUUAUUUUUAAAACUCUUUUAUUAUAUUUUCUUGCAUGUGCAAAAUACUAUUUUUUCUCUCCUUUGUAUAUUUGAAGCACAUGUCACCAGUAUUAAGAUUUUCUUUAACUUUUUUAAUUUAGCAGUAAUAUAAGUCUAAAAUACAUUUGCUAUAAAGUCAAUGCAUGCCCCAAAAGCUUGAGACUAUAAAAAUGAUGCCACUAAUUAUUUUUUUUAAAAAUUAUGGGACUUUGUAUAAUGAGUCUGUCUGAUUCCAGGACAAGAUAUAGAAAAGAGCCAUUGCACAUGGCUAAAGAAUCCAAUACAAAUGACUUGAACCUUGUGUGAAGACUCAAGGUUGUGAUGCUUAACAUACGUUAAGACAUAGGCCUUCCUUGUAUCCACAUUCUGUGAAAAUUCUUACAGAUGAGUAUCUCUAACUUGGCUCCUAUAAUAUAGUCCCUUUUUCUGUCUUUCAUAGUGUGGCAAACUUUCUGUAGUCCUGGCUACUGAUUGAGUAAAUGCUUACUUGCUUAUAUCAUUUUAAUUGGGCCCUGAUUCAAAGAUGUGUUAUAGAUCUAUUUUUCCUUUACAUGGAAUUUUUACACAUCUUUGAUAGUCUAUAUUUUCAUCCAGAAAUUCUUUUUUUUUUAUUUUUCUGAUGUCUUUUUAAUUUCUCUUGCCAAUUGAUUCAUAUACCUCAUAACUCAGCCAUGCAUCCCUAAAUGAUCCCUGUGUUUUUUCAAUCACCCUCUUCAAGGGGGGAAUGUAAAAAUAUUAUUUUUAAAUUGCGAAGUUUAAAUUCCUUUUGAGAAGAAUUUUAGGUUAAGAAACAUGAUACCUCUCCAAAUCUAUUUGGAGAAGACACCAUAAAGAUGCCUCCAGACCACAAGCUGCAUGAGAAGAUCAAGAAUGAACUUUGGGUGUGGUUGAUUGAACAUUUAUUUGUAUGUAUACUUUCAUGCCAAAGGGGAUUUCCCUCUAACUAGUUUUUUGUCAAUGCAUCUAGCAAUUAUUGGUUUUGCUCUUUUCUCCUCUUAUCCUCAAAUUAUUGUAACCUUUAUUAUCUUGAUUAUGUUUUCAUGAUCUUUUUUGGGGAAACUUUUCCCAAUAAAAAUCAAAGGCGCGAAUAUAAAAAUGGAGAUUUGAACCCCAAACUUCAAUCCCCAGAAGUCCUUGGCACUUCCCAGAAUGCCCUAUAAUCUCACCUGAGAUCCCCACCUGGGUCGAGAACAAAAUUAUUUAAAUUGACUGAACCACCUACUUGGUCUCUCUGCUUCCGCUUUUAAGCACACAUGUCUCUCAAGAUGUAGUAAGUGAAACUGAACAAGCUUAUCAGCCCUAGAAACGUGGCUUAUUGAUUUGUAUCUUUGAUUUCUAAUAAUCUUUAAUAAACCUCUUAAAAUAUAA